RNAcentral lists this ribosomal RNA (497 nucleotides) under uncultured bacterium. RNAcentral's name for it is "partial 16S ribosomal RNA". It matches the Rfam family "Bacterial small subunit ribosomal RNA", at positions 28 to 507 of the family's 1533-position model. The record is from RNAcentral.
GAUGAACGCUGGCGGCGUGCCUAAUACAUGCAAGUCGAGCGAACGGACGAGAAGCUUGCUUCUCUGAUGUUAGCGGCGGACGGGUGAGUAACACGUGGAUAACCUACCUAUAAGACUGGGAUAACUUCGGGAAACCGGAGCUAAUACCGGAUGAUAUUUUGAACCGCAUGGUUCACAAGUGAAAGACGGUCUUGCUGUCACUUAUAGAUGGAUCCGCGCUGCAUUAGCUAGUUGUUAAGGUAACGGCUUACCAAGGCAACGAUGCAUAGCCGACCUGAGAGGGUGAUCGGCCACACUGGAACUGAGACACGGUCCAGACUCCUACGGGAGGCAGCAGUAGGGAAUCUUACGCAAUGGGCGAAAGCCUGACGGAGCAACGCCGCGUGAGUGAUGAAGGUCUUCGGAUCGUAAAACUCUGUUAUUAGGGAAGAACAUAUGUGUAAGUAACUGUGCACAUCUUGACGGUACCUAAUCAGAAAGCCACGGCUAACUACGUG